This 139-nucleotide non-coding RNA is filed under the name Clostridium sp. RNAcentral's name for it is "MoCo sequence". It matches the Rfam family "Molybdenum/Tungsten riboswitch aptamer (Moco RNA motif)". Lineage: Bacteria; Bacillati; Bacillota; Clostridia; Eubacteriales; Clostridiaceae. RNAcentral also lists the same sequence under 1 other name. The record is from RNAcentral.
UAUCAAUAAUAUUUUCUAGAGCAUAGUAUUGCCUAAGGAUAAAUUCUAUGGAUAUUAUGCCUGAAUUUUAGAUUCACAGGGUGCUUAUUUGAAAAGAUAGCAUCUCCACGAUUUGGGAAGGAAAAUAAGUUGAUUUAAA